Acanthosepion pharaonis is the source of this 111-nucleotide non-coding RNA. The record is from the annotation of a GenBank genome assembly. NCBI's taxonomy places the organism in Eukaryota, Metazoa, Mollusca, Cephalopoda, Sepiida, Sepiidae.
GACAGCCAUAUCACGUUGAAACACCAGAUCUCAUUUGAUCAUCGAAGUUAAGCAACGUCGAACCUGGUCUGUAUCUAGAUGGGAAACCACUGAUGAAUACCCAGUGCUAUA